UUGGCAAAUAGAUUUUGUCAAAAUAGCUGAGGUUCUGUAACAAGCACAAUCGAUUGGCAAAUCGAUUGAUGGAAAAGUCUGAGUCACUAUGAUCAGCACAAUCGAUUGACGAAUCGAUUGAAGAAAAUGUUCAAGUUACAGAAAGGUUUCAGCUAAGUGCCAAAUCGAUUAUGAAGUCGACUGAGGAAUCGAUUGUUUUGAUUUCGUUGUUGAAUCAAAACACCUAUAAUCGAUUACUCAAUCGAUUUGGAUAAAAUCAUAGUUCUAGUUCUGAUUAAUGUAUUAAAAGAAUCGAUUGGCAAAUCGAUUCAUGCUUAUAUGAUUCAAGAUUCAAGAAAAACAAGACCUGCGAAAAUCGAUUAGGCAAUCGAUUAAUGCGUUAUGAAAUCGAUUAGGAAAUUGAUUGUCCUGGUGUUUUCUUUGAAUAUAUAUAAGCUUAUUCAAACGUUUUUGAAAAUAACAUUGCACAAAACUUUUGCAUACUUUUCAUAAUCUUUGACAAUCACUUGAAAAACACUUUUGACAGAAAAGUUUUUCACACACACACACACAAACAUUCAUAGCCCAAAAUACUUUUGUGUGAGAACCAAAAUAGUGAUUUGAGUCAAAUCUUUGUACAUCUUUAAUUCUUGAAAAACACAACUCUUUGUAAUUAAAGGAUUGGAAAAUCCAGUUUAGAAACUGGUGGCGAUCUUCGUUGAUGUAGGAUCAUCAAGAAGGAGCUUCACUUGAUCUUGUGUAUGUUUGAUGAUUGACUGCAAGGAUCAAGGGGUUGAGAAAUAGAAGAGAGUUUGAGUUAGAUAGAUAUGCUUCGAGGAAGCUGGACAAAUCUGUAAAA
Molecule: long non-coding RNA, 838 nt
Filed under: Cicer arietinum (chickpea)
Lineage: Eukaryota; Viridiplantae; Streptophyta; Magnoliopsida; Fabales; Fabaceae
Description: long non-coding RNA (CARI_LNC003119)
Source: RNAcentral